GACGAACGCUGCGGCGUGCUUAACACAUGCAAGUCGAACGGGCCUGCCUGGCUUUGGUUGGGUGGGUGAGUGGCGAACGGAUGAGUAACACGUGAGUAACCUGCCCUCUUCUCUUGGAUAACUGCUUGAAAGGGCGGCUAAUACGGGAUGUUCUGGCUGCCUCGCAUGGGGUGGUUUGGAAAGAUUCGGCCUGGUUUUGGUCGUUUUGGUGGGGGAUGGGCUCGCGGCUUAUCAGCUUGUUGGUGGGGUGAUGGCCUACCAAGGCGGUGACGGGUAGCCGGCCUGAGAGGGUGGACGGUCACACUGGGACUGAGACACGGCCCAGACUCCUCGGGAGGCAGCAGUGGGGGAUUUUGCACAAUGGGCGCAAGCCUGAUGCAGCGACGCCGCGUGAGGGAUGGAGGCCUUCGGGUUGUGAACCUCUGUCGCCGGUGAUGUAGGCUCUGCUUUGUGGGUGGGGUUGACGGUAGCCGGGGUAUGAAGUGCCG
RNAcentral lists this ribosomal RNA (488 nucleotides) under Actinomyces sp. oral taxon 448. RNAcentral's name for it is "bacterial SSU rRNA". It matches the Rfam family "Bacterial small subunit ribosomal RNA", at positions 28 to 495 of the family's 1533-position model. Lineage: Bacteria; Bacillati; Actinomycetota; Actinomycetes; Actinomycetales; Actinomycetaceae. The record is from RNAcentral.